UACGGGGGGGGCAAGCGUUGUUCGGAAUUACUGGGCGUAAAGGGCUCGUAGGUGGCCAACUAAGUCGGACGUGAAAUCCCUCAGCUUAACUGGGGAACUGCGUCCGAUACUGGAUGGCUUGAGUUUGGGAGAGGGAUGCGGAAUUCCAGGUGUAGCGGUGAAAUGCGCAGAUAUCAGGAGGAACACCGGUGGCGAAGGCGGGUCUCUGGGCAACAACUGACGCUGAGGAGCGAAAGCGUGGGGAGCGAACAGG
Molecule: ribosomal RNA, 253 nt
Filed under: uncultured bacterium
Lineage: Bacteria
Description: partial 16S ribosomal RNA
Rfam family: Bacterial small subunit ribosomal RNA
Source: RNAcentral